AGCAAAUCACCAAAACCUAAACUACGUUCUAAACUCUUCAGCCGCCAAUCCUACCCCUACGUCCCCUUCCCCACUUUUCCAAUUCUUUCUUCAACUAUGGAUAAACUAAAAAAUGCAAGAACUACAGAGAAGAAGAGUGAGAGAGAACCCCAUAGAGUGAGUGAAAGUUUGAAGAUUUUGAAGAGGUAAUUUUGGGAGGAGCCAUAGUUCGUGAACUGUAACAGCAAAGCAACAUUACAAAAUUGGGAUCAAGAUCCUUUAAGAAGUUUAUGAAGUCUACAGGCAGAUUUGUGAGUUAGAGCAGCAAUGACAAAUUAAGACUAAAGCUAAAGUGCAGUUAAGGCGGUACUACGUUGGGAAGCGAGGAAGGAGAAGACGGUGCUACUUUAUGUCUCAAGCAAGAUGGUGUUGUAGAAGAAUUACGUAUCGUGCAUAUUUGAAAUUUACAAUUAUAAGUAACUUGAAACUUAUUGUGGAGUGUAAUUUUUUUAAUUCUUAGCUACAUUGUAACAAUUCUUAUGUAUAUGUUUUGGAAUCUAAAAUAUUUGAAAUUUUAGCUGCAGGAUGAAAAUUCUUGUUA
This is a long non-coding RNA of Nicotiana attenuata, 580 nucleotides long. RefSeq lists it as uncharacterized. The record is from RefSeq and is a predicted model, not a curated record. The transcript is spliced from 3 exons. Lineage: Eukaryota; Viridiplantae; Streptophyta; Magnoliopsida; Solanales; Solanaceae.